Molecule: ribosomal RNA, 99 nt
Filed under: uncultured bacterium
Lineage: Bacteria
Description: partial 16S ribosomal RNA
Rfam family: Bacterial small subunit ribosomal RNA
Source: RNAcentral
CAACGCCGCGUGGGGGAAGAAGGUUCUCGGAUUGUAAACCCCUUUUCUGUGGGAAGAUGAUGACGGUACCACAGGAAUAAGCCUCGGCUAACUACGUGC